RNAcentral lists this ribosomal RNA (1899 nucleotides) under Triticum aestivum (bread wheat). RNAcentral describes it as "partial small subunit ribosomal RNA". The record is from RNAcentral. Lineage: Eukaryota; Viridiplantae; Streptophyta; Magnoliopsida; Poales; Poaceae.
AUGGCGACUGAAGCUGCCUCUCACAUCUCUGGCGGUUCGGAGUCAACAACGGUGGCUUUGCUAGAACAACUUACUGAAGUAUUUGGCAAGCUGAAGUCCCACACAGAAGCAUCCCUACAAUUGCAAAGUGGCAUCCAGUGGGAAGAUAUCAAAGUACAUUUCCUGAACCUUGAGAAGUCAUACAGAAGCAAGUGUGAUGAACUGGAAGGAAAGCAGAAGGCAUUAGAAGAACAGAAAGCUGGAGGUCGUAGGCUGAUUGCUGAGAAAGAAGCUGAUCUUUCUGCAAAAGAGCGUGCUUCUGUGAACAAGCUUCAGGAGCUGAAGGAUGCUGCCGUCUCUACCCUAGCAGAGGUGCGCAAAAAAUAUAAUGUCGAGCUUUCUGAGAUACUUGAUGCCAAUGGAAGCAAAGACAAAAAGGUAAAACCCCCAACCGACGACACCAAUGCAUCGCUCCCUUCAGACGAGCAUAACUCUGCUAAAGGGUCGGGCAAGCCAUCUGAACCUUCACCAGUUGAGGUUAAGCCGCGCCCUGCACUGAAGGAACUCUGUGAGCAGAUGGACGCUAAAGGCCUUCUGAAAUAUAUUUCAGAAAAUUCAAAAAAACUUGCUGGCUUUCGUGAUGAACUUUGUGUUGCACUAAAAUGUGCAACUGACCCUGCGCGCUUUGUACUUGAUUCCUUGGAGGGUUUUUUCCCAGACCAACUGCCUGGGGAUAAAAAUUACUCCGCUCAGGGGCAGCGCAGAAGCUGUAUUGUUUUGAUGGAGGCUCUAGCACAUUCAAUAGGAAUGAAGGAGCCGGGUGGCAAACACCCUUGGAGCUCUGAAAUUAUGGAGCAAGCCAAGGCAAUUGCCAAUGAGUGGAAGAGUAAGAUAGCUGAGGUUGACCUUGAUGCUUCUGAUGGCUACUCAUUGGAAGCACAUGCAUUCCUGCAGCUUCUUACAACUUUUAAUGUUGAUUUGGUGCUUGACGAAGAUGAACUAUACAAGAUUGUAGUUGCCAUUUCUCGUCGCAAGCAGACUGCUGAGCUAUGUCGCUCUCUUGGUUUGACUGAGAGAAUACCAGGUGUUAUUAACGAGUUGAUUAAGAAACACAGGCAAAUUGAUGCAGUUCAAUUCAUACAAGCCUUUGGGCUGUCAGAGGCUUUUCCUCCUGCUCCUCUCUUGAAGGCAUAUGUAGAUGAGAUAAAAGGCUCACUUAACAAUAAGGGGGAUGCCGGUGCAACUCCUUCAGUGGAUGACUUGAAGAACCGCGAGCUAAUUGCAUUGAGGGCCAUAAUCAAGUGCAUCGAGGAGUACAAGCUCCAGAAGGAGUGUCCACUUGGGCCUCUCCAGAAACGCAUCAACGAGCUGAAACCAAAGGGCGCGAAAAGGCCAUCGGGUUCUGCUAACCGCAACUACGCGAAGAAGCAGCGGGUCUCUGGCAGUGGCACUUCAGCUCCUCGGAGGCCCACUGUGGCAGCUCCCCGCAGGCCCGCAGCUCCAGUCGGCACAUGGCAGCAGCGCGCCCCUCCGCCGCCGGUGCCCGCCUACCCCGACAGGUACGGGGCCGCCGCCGACCGGUACCACUACGCGCCGCCGCCUGCCGCAGCGUAUGACGCGGCCACCUAUGCCGCCUACGGCGGCGGCGGCGGCGGCGAGCAGUACAGGGCCGCCGCCCCAAAGCCGUACCAGUACAACCCAGGAUCAGCAGCAGCCGCCGCCGCAGCGUCGUACAACAACAUACCCCAAUAUAAGGUCGUGUAUGGCGGCCCCGGCGCCCAGCCAUCCACGGCUGCGGGCGGCUACGCGCCCUACGGCGGAGGCUCGGUGGGGCAGCAGCAGCCGCAGCCUGCUGCUUCCUCCGGCGGCUACCUGAGCUACGCCGCCGGGUUCGGCUACCGCCCUUCUCAGCAGCAGUAG